This 492-nucleotide ribosomal RNA is filed under the name uncultured bacterium. RNAcentral describes it as "partial 16S ribosomal RNA". It matches the Rfam family "Bacterial small subunit ribosomal RNA", at positions 29 to 507 of the family's 1533-position model. The record is from RNAcentral.
AGUGAACGCUGGCGGUAGGCCUAACACAUGCAAGUCGAACGGCAGCACAGUAAGAGCUUGCUCUUACGGGUGGCGAGUGGCGGACGGGUGAGGAAUACAGCGGAAUCUACUUUUUCGUGGGGGAUAACGUAGGGAAACUUACGCUAAUACCGCAUACGACCUACGGGUGAAAGCAGGGGAUCUUCGCACCUUGCGGGAAUGAAUGAGCCGAUGUCGGAUUAGCUAGUUGGCGGGGUAAAGGCCCACCAAGGCGACGAUCCGUAGCUGGUCUGAGAGGAUGAUCAGCCACACUGGAACUGAGACACGGUCCAGACUCCUACGGGAGGCAGCAGUGGGGAAUAUUGGACAAUGGGCGCAAGCCUGAUCCAGCCAUACCGCGUGGGUGAAGAAGGCCUUCGGGUUGUAAAGCCCUUUUGUUGGGAAAGAAAAGCAGCAGGUUAAUACCCCGCUGUUCUGACGGUACCCAAAGAAUAAGCACCGGCUAACUUCGUG